RNAcentral lists this long non-coding RNA (1472 nucleotides) under Oryzias javanicus (javanese ricefish). RNAcentral describes it as "lncRNA (ENSOJAG00000005497.1)". Lineage: Eukaryota; Metazoa; Chordata; Actinopteri; Beloniformes; Adrianichthyidae. The record is from RNAcentral.
UAAGAACCUAACUAGCUAAACAUUUGCAUCUUGGAAGUUUGUUCCAUUACAAGUCCACCACAUUCCCUGCGCCAUGGAUGGACAUGACCGGGCUUUUUAAAAGUAUGGAUCCAACAACUGCAGCUGGACCAAGAGGGCCAGAGGACUUUUACAGAAGCCAUUUGGAGCAUCUGAUGUUAUGAAGGAACAGGAUCAGACCCACCAACAUUCUUCAGCCAUAUCCCUGCCUUAGAGAUCUAAAUCAUGUAAGCAAAUCAUUUUCAGAUGGUUUAUGUUUAAUAAGAUUCUGCAAGUAAAUAGUAAAUCAUACUCAUUGUAAAAUGUUGGACUUUUGCUUAUAAAAGUCAUAGGACUUUGGCAUUUAAAUGCUAUGAAGCUGAUGAACAGCAAGAGUUUUAUUGAAAUAACAUAUCUGUAUUUAUAUCUCGGUGUUUAUGUGUCAGAUUAUGGAUGAACGGGAUUGGAUCUUCAAUUAAGCAAACCCCCACUUCAUUCCUGAACUGAAGAAACGCUGGAGGAUCAUUUUUGAGAGGGACCAGUUUUUUGGAGUUUUUUUUUUUAAAAAGGGAUGAAGCCUCCAAAGAGAGAUGAAGUAAAGCAAACAAUUGUCUAGAUGAAGCCUUUGCCAGACAUGAUCCCAUCGCCUGUCGCGCCACCCAAGAAGCUCAGACAUUCAAGUGAGGUGAUGCUUCACAUCCUCCAGUCGGCAGAACACCCCAACAUCUUUCUUCAAUCAAGACCUUUCUUCCAUCCUGUGGUGAUCGUCUGUGACUCCAACCGUGUAACUACCAUUGGAACCAUUUCUGUGCUGAUCUUCUCCGAGGAGGACGUAUCUGACAGCGUGAUGUAUAUCAUGGCAUGUUACUACAUCUUUCACCGUACGUAUCCCAAGUGUAGCAGGACACUCCUGUUUGUGCUGCAGACAGAAGACCUUAUGGACACUAUCCAUGCCAGAGACAUGACUUCCUCUAACAAAAAAGUAAAUGUUAUUACAACUAUGUAUGUUGAUGUUCAGUCCAAAUGUUUACAGAUGUGAUUGUGAAAACGUGAAGUUUUCUACUAGUUUUCUAAGUUACAACAUCAUUUGUUCUGCUCUUCUUAUGAUGACGUUAGGCUUUCUGGAAUCAGUACGAGCUUUUUUAUUUUUAUCAGACUACUAGUUAUGUUGCCUAAACAAACAACAUUUAAGUUUCUCAGUAUCCUAUCACACAUUUUUGUGAGAUACUCAUUGUUAUUAAAUUUACAGCACCGUUUGUAGUCAUCUGCAUGUCUGUUUUUCAACCUAGACCAGCAAUACUUGUGUUUGUUUCCAGUCAUGAGCUCCUCAAAUGCAAUAAAGAAGUUAAAAGAAGCUGGAUUCAUAUCUUCAUUCAAGCCUGGGACAUUUGUAUGGCCAAGAUUAACGCAGGAAUUUUACCUUAAUUCAAGAAUUUCAAGUAAACUAUGAUCCAUAGUGAGAAAAUAAGAGUGCU